UACAGUCCAUUUCGCUUAUCUUGCGCGAGACUGAGGUGAAACUGGCCGGCUCGCGACCCUAAGAGAGCGUGCCCCGCGUGGCGCCACAUUCUGAGGAGGAAUUUAACCGUGACUCGGGCGGUGAGCGCAGCAAAAAGACUGUCAGUGGGGUUCCCAAACGAUUUGUUGCCCCCAGCGACACUGUCUGAACGAUUAACAGGGUUAUAUCUCUCUCUACACCUCUGGAGCGAGUUGCAUUCCCAUGGGAGCUGCAGAAGAGGACUCUGAGCAGAGGGCUUAGAAGGGGAUGCAGGCAGGACGGACCCUGUCUCCAUGAGGGAGAAUGCAGACUCAUAAUGUAGCUGCCUCUUAUUGUUCUGCUUCCUUCUUCCUCAGUCCUACUUCUCGCACUUGCGGGAGACCCACAUGCCAGACCCAGUAAGAUGCGAAUGGGGGCUACUCAAGGGAGUGGGGAGGACCCCCUCUUUGAUCUUGGAGCCCGCCUCCUCCACUCCCGCCUUGGUCUUCUCUGCAGCAUCCACGACGCCUUCCUUGACCUUGGAGAAUCCAUCGGAGGAAUCAAGAGUCCCCAGAGGGGAGCCACACAACAAAAAGAGAACAUGCAGCCUACCCACUGUACCACCAUAGUGUAUCAGUAUGCUGGCUCUACCAUCCUUGUUUAUCUUCAUCCCCCUGCUGGUGAUAGGCAGUAAUGCAUGUUGUUACCAGGCUCCAUAUUAUAUUCCUACUGAACUAAACAUAGUCCCACCUGGCCCCACCUUACUCAUUCCUCUCGGCCUGGCAUAUGCCAACACGACUUGGUCAUGUCCUGGAAUGAUGACUGUAAUAAAAGCCUAACAUGUGCUUAAGUAGUUAGGUUCAGGGUGUGAUUCAGAGUUGGGAAGCUCACCUUGCCUCUCCAGUCUCCCUUUGCCUGCUGAGAAGCAGAUACAUCCCCCAUGUCAGAUGUUUUAUCAGCUUACGAUGACCUGCUGUGCUACUCUG
This is a long non-coding RNA of Paramormyrops kingsleyae, 984 nucleotides long. RefSeq lists it as uncharacterized. The record is from RefSeq and is a predicted model, not a curated record. NCBI's taxonomy places the organism in Eukaryota, Metazoa, Chordata, Actinopteri, Osteoglossiformes, Mormyridae.